RNAcentral lists this ribosomal RNA (439 nucleotides) under uncultured bacterium. Its description in RNAcentral is "partial 16S ribosomal RNA". It matches the Rfam family "Bacterial small subunit ribosomal RNA", at positions 338 to 795 of the family's 1533-position model. The record is from RNAcentral.
CCUACGGGUGGCUGCAGUGGGGAAUAUUGCACAAUGGGGGAAACCCUGAUGCAGCGACGCCGCGUGAGUGAAGAAGUAAUUCGUUAUGUAAAGCUCUAUCAGCAGGGAAGAAAAUGACGGUACCUGAGUAAGAAGCCCCGGCUAACUACGUGCCAGCAGCCGCGGUAAUACGUAGGGGGCAAGCGUUAUCCGGAUUUACUGGGUGUAAAGGGAGCGUAGGCGGGAUAGUAAGUUGAUUGUUAAAACUAUCGGCUCAACUGGUAGAUGCGAUCAAAACUGCAAUUCUUGAGUGAAGUAGAGGCAGUCGGAAUUCCUAGUGUAGCGGUGAAAUGCGUAGAUAUUAGGAGGAACACCAGUGGCGAAGGCGGUCUGCUGGGCUUUAACUGACGCUGAGGCUCGAAAGUGUGGGUAGCAAACAGGAUUAGAUACCCGGGUAGUC